CCUACGGGAGGCAGCAGUGAGGAAUAUUGGUCAAUGGGCUUACGCCUGAACCAGCCAAGUCGCGUGAGGGAAGACUGCCCUAUGGGUUGUAAACCUCUUUUGUCAGGGAGCAAUUGGCGCUACGUGUAGCGUUAUCUAGAGUACCUGAAGAAAAAGCAUCGGCUAACUCCGUGCCAGCAGCCGCGGUAAUACGGAGGAUGCGAGCGUUAUCCGGAUUUAUUGGGUUUAAAGGGUGCGUAGGCGGAAUGCCAAGUCAGCGGUAAAAUCGCGGGGCUCAACCUCGCUCCGCCGUUGAAACUGGCGUUCUUGAGUGGGCGAGAAGUAUGCGGAAUGCGUGGUGUAGCGGUGAAAUGCAUAGAUAUCACGCAGAACUCCGAUUGCGAAGGCAGCAUACCGGCGCCCAACUGACGCUGAAGCACGAAAGCGUGGGUAACGAACAGGAUUAGAUACCCCAGUAGUC
RNAcentral lists this ribosomal RNA (460 nucleotides) under uncultured bacterium. RNAcentral's name for it is "partial 16S ribosomal RNA". It matches the Rfam family "Bacterial small subunit ribosomal RNA", at positions 338 to 795 of the family's 1533-position model. The record is from RNAcentral.